This 494-nucleotide ribosomal RNA is filed under the name uncultured bacterium. RNAcentral's name for it is "partial 16S ribosomal RNA". It matches the Rfam family "Bacterial small subunit ribosomal RNA", at positions 28 to 507 of the family's 1533-position model. The record is from RNAcentral.
GACGAACGCUGGCGGCGCGCUUAACACAUGCAAGUCGAACGGAAAGGCCUGCUUUCCCUUGUGGAUUGCGGGUACUCGAGUGGCGAACGGGUGAGUAACACGUGAGUGAUCUGCCCCCAACUUGGGUAUAAGCCUGGGAAACUGGGUCUAAUUCCCGAUAGGACUGCAGGGUGGUGCCUGUGGUGGAAAACGAUUUUCUAGUGGUUGGGGAUGAGCUCGCGGCCUAUCAGCUUGUUGGUGGGGUAAUGGCCUACCAAGGCGGCGACGGGUAGCCGGCCUGAGAGGGUGGACGGCCACAGUGGGACUGAGAUACGGCCCAGACUCCGACGGGAGGCAGCAGUGGGGAAUAGUGCACAAUGGGCGGAAGCCUGAUGCAGCGACGCCGCGUGGGGGAUGACGGCCUUCGGGUUGUAAACUCCUUUCGACCGCGAGGAAGCCACCUGGUUGGAAGGGUGGUGACGGUAGUGGUAGAAGAAGCACCGGCUAACUACGUG